This 509-nucleotide ribosomal RNA is filed under the name uncultured bacterium. RNAcentral's name for it is "bacterial SSU rRNA". It matches the Rfam family "Bacterial small subunit ribosomal RNA", at positions 17 to 518 of the family's 1533-position model. The record is from RNAcentral.
UCCUGGCUCAGGAUGAACGCUAGCGACAGGCUUAACACAUGCAAGUCGAGGGGCAGCAUAAAAGUAGCAAUACUUGGUGGCGACCGGCGCACGGGUGAGUAACGCGUAUGCAACCUACCUAUCAGAGGGGAAUAACCCGGCGAAAGUCGGACUAAUACCGCAUAAAACAGGGGCACCGCAUGGUGAUAUUUGUUAAAGAAAUUCGCUGAUAGAUGGGCAUGCGUUCCAUUAGGUAGUUGGUGAGGUAACGGCUCACCAAGCCGACGAUGGAUAGGGGAACUGAGAGGUUGGUCCCCCACACUGGUACUGAGACACGGACCAGACUCCUACGGGAGGCAGCAGUGAGGAAUAUUGGUCAAUGGGCGGGAGCCUGAACCAGCCAAGUCGCGUGAAAGGAAGAAGGAUCUAUGGUUCGUAAACUUCUUUUGCAGGGGAAUAAAGUGCAGGACGUGUCCUGUUUUGUAUGUACCCUGAGAAUAAGGAUCGGCUAACUCCGUGCCAGCAGCUGC